This 7024-nucleotide long non-coding RNA is filed under the name Homo sapiens (human). RNAcentral describes it as "HSALNT0111913". Lineage: Eukaryota; Metazoa; Chordata; Mammalia; Primates; Hominidae. The record is from RNAcentral.
GUAGGUUGACUGUCGGGACAAGCCCAGGGAUGGCAUUGUUUCUAUUUGCUGAUAAAUGACUCUGGGGCUGUGAAGACUCAGACCCAAGGAGUGACUCAGAAAGUCAGGGGCCCAUGUCAUUCUGCUCUGGGUUCAGACGUGCACUGCAGCAGCACCGGGACUUGACAGCCCUACGGCUCGAUCAGCUUUCUGUUUUCAUUGCCUUACGAUGCCAUGAGUGGAACUAUUGUCAAAUCAGAGUUCACUCCCCAGCUUUUCAGUCUUUCCCCUAAUUCUUGCUCUAUCAGAGGUCGAGGACAACAGUAUAAUGAUUCAUAGGUUCUACUUCCUGGCAAGUAAUCAUUUUCCCACGGGCCCUUGUGAAUUGAUGAAUAUGAAGACACUAAGAAAGCAGAAAUAGAACUGAGAAGAAUGAAAUAACUGUCUCUACCUUUCUCGAAUUGUCUAAUAUGGAAAGAAUGAAAGACAGCUAAUAAGCAACUCUCUGCAAGAAGACAUAUGGCUUAGGUUCUGCUGAGCUAUUGGUGAUUUGAUUCCAUGCAUAUGUAUUCACUACUGGUAUAAGUAUAUACAAUAUAUGUGUUUCUGCAAAGAAUCGUAGACUUGAUGCAUUUUUUAAUAUUUCUUAAGGACUUACUACUGAGUGUCAGUAUGAGAGGAUCGUUUACUUCCUUUUCCCAUUAAUUUUGAUAGCCUGGAUUGAGCAACUUUCUUACCUAGUUUUGUUUUAUGAGGUGCAUUAGCUUUUUCUUUGUGUGUAUGUUUGUGUGUGUGUAGCUUUAUUAACCAUAUUGUUUGGGCUUUUGAUAAAGCAGAGAUUCUGAUAUGGUAUACAUUUUGAACUAAGCAUUCAUUUAUUCAGCAGGGAUGUAUGUUUAAGACACUGUGUUAGCCAAGGGUGAGAAGGCGUGUGGAAUGGUAGAGGAGCAAGGUGAGGUAAGAUGAUUAAAAGACACCAGCUGAGAGUGUUAUUUUAUAUGGCAGAAGGAUGUUUGCAGAUGCAAUUAAGUUAAGGACCUUGAGAUGGGGUAUGUUAUCCUGGUAGGCCCAAUGUAUACAUCAGGGUCCUUAUGAAAGGGAGGCAGGAGAACAGAAUGAGUAGUGAGAAGAGUGAAUGGACAAUACUGAGGACAUGCUUAGGGACCCAAAGAAGCUUGCUAUGGUAGGGCUUGGUGGACUCUGUACUGAUGAGAAAGGCUAGGCCAUGCUAUGGAAGCAAAUAAAUCUGUUGUAAAGUGACAGAGUUUCUCUCUUGCUCAUGCAAAGUCUGCUAAAUGGCUGAGUGAUUCUCAAGGGCAUCCCUCACUCAUGUGAUGGCUCUGCUGUGUGUGCAUCCCUGCUAGCCAGGCAGGUCAGGAGAAUGUUAGAAAUGAAACACUUCCUUCUGGUGGCCAAAAGAAGUCACAUGGCUACAUCUGUUAAUAAUUCGAAGGUUGUAGACAGUAUAAUAUUCCCUUGUCCUAAAAGAGGGAAGCUAGAAAUAUUGGUAAGCAGCACAUAUAUCUUCCCCAUGAUCCCAACUUUGUUGGGUAGAGAAGCAUUUUAAAUAACUUUGGAAUUUACAUAUAUUCCUCAAAUAUCUAGUGGUAACUCCAUGUCUAAAUCCAGGGUACCCACUUUCUUCCCUAAACAUGUUUGAAAGUCCUGCAUUCUCUCAGUAUUGUUACAGAGCCACAUUUCAGUUGAAUUGGUAGUGCUGAGAAAAGCGUUAUUUAUUUUAUUUUUAUUUUAGUUUUUUUUAGAGACUGGGUUUUGCUGUGUUGCCCCGGCUGAUCUUGCACUCCUGGUCUCAAGUGCUCCUCCUAUCUCAGCCAUCCGAAUAGCUGGUAUUACAUGUGCACACCAUAAUGAGAAAAGCAUUAUGAUUAACCUAGUAAAUUGAUUUUUAAUACUGCAUUAUUUGAUUUUCAAGGACUUAAAAAACCACUUCCAGAGAGCUAGACACAAUGAAUACAAGCAAGCUAAUAAUGAAAGUGAGAAACCACAUGCUGCUGAAUUGAGUAUGUAGCAACAUUUGUAAAGAAAUGGCAAAUCAUAUCUAAUUAUUUCAUUGUGCUUACCUUUCUUCAGUCAGAAAGCCUUCGGCAUCUAGUGCAUUUCUACAGAUAUUCCGUGGUGAUUUAAUAUCAAUUAAUAUCAACCUGCAGCAAAGUGUUGACAGUGUUUCUAAAUUCACAAGCCCAACAUUUUGCAGUAUUGGGCAUAAGUGAAGGAGCUUUCCAGGUUGCUGCUAAAAGCAACUCAAAAAGAUGCGAAGUAGAUGUGAAACCUUCAUAUUUGGUACUUCUAUAGCAGAUUGUCUUCUCUCCUAGAAGAGAGGCCAGGAGACAGACUAACCCAUUUCUCUAAUCCAUAUGUUGUUCGCUGAGGCUCCCAAAGCUCUGGGAAGUAAUUUACUUGCAGUUCUCUAGAGAUGGAGGCAGGGAGCUUGAGUGUGAGUCCAGUGGAGACUGUCUUUGGAAUUUCAUCUGAUCACAGGGUCACUGUCCAUUUCUCUUCUCAGCAGGCCUAGGAAAACACCAGGACUAACCCCCUGGAGGGAGCCUAGCUUCAGGAUUAAUUAGGGCUUGAUUAAUUAAUUAAGGUAUGAAUCGAGGGCUUAAACAGUAGUUAACUAAGAAAUAUGUAUUUGUUUUACAAAAGUUAAAAUUUAUGGAACAGUAUAUUAAGAAUUGCUUUUAUUUUAUAAUAUAAUGUGUUAAUGUUAAGUUCUUUCCAUACAUUCUUUCGUUUAAAGCACACACAAAAAUGCAGAUGUGGCCAGGUGCAGUGGCUCACGUCUGUAAUCCUAGCACUUUGGGAGGCUGAGGAAGGCGGAUCACCUGAGGUCAGGAGUUCGAGACCAGCCUGGCCAACAUGGUGAAACCCCAUCUCCAUUAAAAAUACAAAAAUUAGCCGGGCAUGGUGGCAUGCACCUGUAAUCCCAGCUACUUGGGAGGCUGAGGCAGGAGAAUCACUUGAACCUAGGAGGGGGAGGUUGCAGUGAGCCAAGAUCGCACCACUGCACUCCAGCCUGGGCGACAGAGCGAGAAUCCAUCUAAAGAAAAAAAUGCAGAUGAAGGGCCUGCCUUGAUUGUCCUGUGAACAGUUUGUGUGCAGUGGGGAGGCUGAAGGUCUGGCCUCCUUUGCUUCUGGUGUCUUCACCGCCACCACUUCUGCCCCUGUGUCUCUAUAUAGUGUAAGGGAUUGGUAUUAAUUAUUUCCCAUUUUACAGAUGAGGAAACUGAAAUCCAGAGAAAUGGAGUGAGUUGGCCAAGUGCACACAGCUCAUUUCUUACCUAGUAUUUACUGUUCACACACUGUAUAGACCCUUUAAUAAGCUAAUCUAAAAGAUUAAUCUAAAAGAUUAGAUACAUUACCUCGUUUCAGUGCCACUAUAGCCUGGCAUUGUACAUAUCACUAUCUUCCUGUCGAAUAGGAAGGUUCUUAAAUUCUGAGACAUUUGGUAACAUGCCUGAGUUAUGUGUAAAAGCUUAGAUUUGAAUUUGAGCCUCCUGACUUGAAUCUUGCGUUUGACCAUACCACAUCUGCACCUAGCUGUUGGAGGAAUCAGAACGCCCAAGACCCAGAUAACUCUAAAUAAGGCCCAGUCUGAGUCGUGCUUCAUGGUUAGGUUCAUAAGUUCAGUGCUGAAAAGGCUGAUUUUUCCUGUUUUUCUAGGGUCUGUUUGCUGGAUUUAAGAUACGCUCUCUCCAGAAAUAUGACAAAACAAUUGUUUUGUUUGCUCAUUUUUUGUUUUGUUUUGUUUUUCGUUCUUACAAGGUAACUAGUAUCCCUAGCACACCAGAAAUAAUUGGCACUGAUGUUCCUGACAAGAGGAGUCUGCUAAAAGUGACCUUUAAAUGCCUUUUGGUGGAGUGAUUAUUUAAUUUAGGCAGUUUCUUUUCUCAGAAAGGAAUUAACAGUUUCUACGGGCUUUGCUAGCUGAGACCUUUAGUUUUAAUCACCUCCUUGAAAACAUUCUCCUUAAUCUAUUCUGAGUAAGAUGGUGGGUUUCUUUGUACUUUGGCCUUUAACUUUUUUUUUUUUUUGAGACAAGCUCUAUCACCCAGGCUGGAGUAUAAUGUCACGAUCAUAGCUCACUAUAAACUUAAACUCCAGGGUUCAGCCGUGGAACACAGGUGAUCUUCUUGACUCAGCCUUUUGAGUAGCUGGGACUACAGGCCCACCACACUGUCUAAUUUUUUAUUUAUUUAUUUUUGUAGAGAUGGGAUCUUGCUAUGUGGCCCAGGCUGGCCUCAAACUCCUGGCCUCAAGAUAUUUCCCCCUGCCUUGGCCUCUCAAAGUGAAUCUACUUGGAGAGAGUCAAACACAGAAUCCCUUUGAAUUUAAUGGCCAUUCCAGGUGAUUUGAACAGCCAAAUAAGAAACAGGUCCUCUUCAAUGUACAAUCUGCCAAGUAUGAAGUCUGAAUGACCAUCAUUAUUAUGUAUUUAAUGUGCAUAGAAAAUCUAUCUGCAACCUUCCAGAGUGUACCAGAAGUUUGGAAUGUACAUUAUUAUUGGCUCCAUCUCAAACCACUCAUAAAUCAAAGAAAAUAGCAGUUCCAGAGGAAUCAUCAUAGAGGCUUCUAGGCCCCCAUGCUGUGUGAACCUGGUGAGAAAGGGAAGUCUGCUCUCACUGGACACUGGAACUGUUUGUCUCUGUCUCUGCUGUACUUUCCCUGCCUCUACCUCACUUAGUAAAGAAAUCAUCUUUGCUUGAUAACUAAAACAACCAAUAAGGCUGAGAAAGGGGAAAACCCACAUCUGGAUUUAAAUACAAGGUAUUGGGCCAGCUGCUGGGGAUUAAACUUUGAACAAAACAGAUAGAAUCUAUGUCCUCAUGGGAGUGGCUAAUGGGAGAGUCGGAACAAAAAAAUAGCCAAGGAUAAUCCAGCAAAUGAUUUGGUGAAUGCUAUCAAAGAGAGAAAUACACAUGCUCUGGGAACACCAAGAAUAAACGAGAGAAAGGGACAUUAAUAUAUAUUGAAUAUCUGCUGUGUCAGGCACCUUACAUAUAUUGAUUGCUUCUUCACUUCUUUUAAUCUUUACUACACCACAUGAGGCUGUCAUAGAGAUUCUGAGAACAAAUUGUCUAAUUGAGAAACUGCUGAGCAUUGGAAAUGAGCUUGCCAGGGGAACAGAGGGAUACCUGAAUAGCGAAUGCAAGGCAGUUCAAAACUCAAACUCAGGCCACUGGAUUUGCUGCCCACUGCUCCUUGUAUGAUCGCCCUUGGGCACCACAUCCAUGUAGAGUCUUCUUCUAAGAGGCAAGGAAGGUCAAAGCUGAAACCACACAUCCCAGAUUAUGAUUGAGGUGUUUUUAUAGAACUUGUUUAUUUACAGCGUCUAUACUAAAACUUAUUUUUGGAAGCUGUAGUCAAAUAAUGUUUCUUAAGUGCCUUCACAGGAUAGACCAGCAAUAGAUGCUGUGGAAGAAGUGCAUGAUGUAGCUCCUGACCUCAAGACACUUUUCCACUGGAUACGGAUACAGGGCAUAUCUCCAGGGAGAUCAUUCAGGAUAAUGCCCAGUCAUCAGCAGGCAGUGCCAUAUGAAUGCAUAGCAAGUUAUGCUCCAGGAAGCAGAGGAAGCAGAGCACAUGAGGAAUGGGCUUCUAUGUGUAGCUGGAGUCUCACCUGGGUUUUGAAUUCAUAAAUAGUGUUCAAGGAGGAAGCAGGGAGGGUAUAGCUCUUGAUAGGAAGUGAUGGGAUGGCGAUACGAAUAUAUGUUCCUUGUUUGAAAUACCACAUGAAGGGCAUGUGGCUGUGAAACCAACUUUGCAAAGAUGAUGACAGUGAGAGAAAUCUAGCAUGGCUGACUCCAUCUUGCUUCUAGCCUCGCAGGCUGGCUACCCUCACUCACUCUUGGGCAUAGGCCCAGCUAACCAUGGGAGUCAUUUGAUUUAUAGAUUAACUUUGAAACAAGAAUGAUAAGAGUCUCUCCCUAAAACUGACCCCUUCCUUGUUCAGGAGCUGAAACUGCCUUUGUAAGACUAAUGAAAGGCCACAAGAUUAGGAUUAUGGGAGAGGCCUGGAUUCUGCUAAAAUGUAGGUGUAGUAAAUGAUAAACAGACAUUGAUCUCCAGUUGGCUUUUCUAUAAUCCCUUCCUGCUCCGGGGUCAGGUGGCCAGAGGCACAAGAUUUGUGGCUUCCGCAAAUUCUCCUGUAGGUAACAUCACUAUUGUAGAAUUUGAGAUUGGUCUUUUGAGAUGUUUUUCAGGCUUUUGCAUUCUGGCAACUCACUGACCCCAUGACUCAUGACUCAACCUGUUCUGUGGCCCCCACACAGAGGCUAGUUCAGUGCACAAGAACCAUUUUCCACACCCCUAUGUUGUCAUUCCCAACCAAUCAGCAACACCCACCCCUGAGCUCCCUGCCUGCCCAAUUAUCCAUAAAACUCUAGCCUCUGAGUUCUUGGGAUGGCUGAUUUGAGCAAUUAUUCCCAUCCUUCCAUUCAACUAGCCCUGCCAUUAUUAAACUCUUUCUCUACUGCAAUACAUCUGUCUCAGUGAACUGAUUUUAUCUGUGCAGUGGGCAACAAUUAGCCAUUGGGUGAUUAUAGCUGGAAAAGUGCCUACCUUGUGGCAGUUAAACAUGAGGUUUGGAGGGAGACUACCUACAUCUAACCACCACUGACCACCAUUGUAGUUGAGGUUCUGGUCAACUUAUUAACCCUUUGUGCGCACAUGUGCAUGCGUGCACACACACAGACACACACAGACACAUUUUCUCAUGUGUGAAAUGGGGACCAUAAUGUUGGAUCUCCCAGUGUUGCAGGAAGGACUCAUUGUAACAGAACAUGAAAAUAUUUAAUGUGCUGCCUAAUGUAUAACAGACACUGAAUAAAAUAACCACUGUUUUCAUUAGUAAUGGUCUUAGAUACCUAGCUAAGGCAAAAAUUUACUCGAUUUCCUGUCCCUCAUCUUUCAAACUUACUUGGGUUUGUAACCAUCCUUGCUUCCUUCCCCUCUUUUCAAAGUGUUAUUUCCUUUCAAAGUUAAUCCUUUCACUUGAUUCUCAUUCCAUCACGUAUUGUCUUCCUUC